This 22-nucleotide non-coding RNA is filed under the name Arabidopsis thaliana (thale cress). Lineage: Eukaryota; Viridiplantae; Streptophyta; Magnoliopsida; Brassicales; Brassicaceae. The record is from RNAcentral.
UGGAGUUACAGAUCGUAGUUGC